GCAUCUUCUUCCUCUUGUCUCUCUCUCUCCUCCAACUCGCCGCAAAACAACCUCGAAAAUACCAAAACUCGCCGGAAACAACCUUCAAACACCAAAACUUGGAGAAAGCGGACGCUUUGACCCGCUCCGCCUCACAGAAACGCGGCCGCGAAACCCGCAUUUCACAAACGCGUGACUCGGUGGCGUUGUGACGUGGUACCUUGAUUUUGGCCGCGAUAGCGCCGGGAGCGGACGCUAUUGACAACAGAGCUAUAUAUAAUUUUCAUUUCAUAAUGUCAGGGCACAAAUAUUCAGAUCUAUUCCUCGCUUCAGUUUUCAGAGUUUCCGAAACUUCGAUAAAGAUAGUUUUUUAAAUUUAAUAAUUAAUAUUUAUUCAGAUCUAUUUCUCCCUUCAGUUUUCUGAGUUUCUGAAACUCUGAUAGAGAUAGUUUUCUGAGUUUCUGAAGCAUGCAUUACAGACCAAGUUGAUGGAUUGUAAUAGGAGGGACGGAGGGCAUGGAGAUAUUGCUGCUAUAAGAAAAUGUUGGUCGAGAAAUCAAGUCUCUUUGGGAACUUAAGAAACUAAGGGCUUGUUUGGUUUGGGAAAACAUCAUAAUGUUUUCUGUUUCUAUCUUCAUUAAUGAAACCACCAUUUGUUUUCACUUAAGUUUCCCAAUUUUCAAAUAUCUAUGCAAGAAAUAAGAAAUGGUUU
This 691-nucleotide long non-coding RNA is filed under the name Medicago truncatula (barrel medic). RNAcentral describes it as "lncRNA gene27165". The record is from RNAcentral. Lineage: Eukaryota; Viridiplantae; Streptophyta; Magnoliopsida; Fabales; Fabaceae.